UUGACUCAACGCGGGAAAUCUUACCGGGUCCGGACACACUGAGGAUUGACAGGCAAUAUCUCAUGUUAACGGUAAGUUUACUUACCGCUUAACAUCGAGUGUUAAAUAUGCUAGUCCUUUCAUGAUUAUGUGAUAGGUGGUGCAUGGCCGUUCUUAGUUCGUGGAGUGAUCUGUCUGCUUAAUUGCGUUUCACUAAGGGCCCAUAAAUUCAAGGUAUGUUAGCUCUCGUCGCUCUAUGGACCCCUUAACUCCAAUAUUCUUAUUGUGUUAAGCGCGUGUCUUUAUUUUAAGAGUUUUAAGACACUGCGCAUGCUGUUGGGCUCUGAAAGCAACGAACGUGACCGCAACGUCUUGUUGCCUUAAACUAGCGUAUAUUGCAAUUUAUUGNAAUAUCGCUUACAGAGGCUAUUUAAAACUAGACGGACCGCUGUUUCUUUCUUAAACCAGAGGAA
Molecule: ribosomal RNA, 452 nt
Filed under: Neogloboquadrina pachyderma
Lineage: Eukaryota; Foraminifera; Rotaliida; Globorotaliidae
Description: SSU rRNA
Rfam family: Eukaryotic small subunit ribosomal RNA
Source: RNAcentral